Long non-coding RNA from Panthera uncia (snow leopard), 932 nucleotides. RefSeq lists it as uncharacterized. NCBI's taxonomy places the organism in Eukaryota, Metazoa, Chordata, Mammalia, Carnivora, Felidae. The record is from RefSeq and is a predicted model, not a curated record. The transcript is spliced from 2 exons.
AAGUGCAGCACAGGCCUUUAGGCAUCUGGAGCGAAGCCCUGUCAUCCUCUGCAGAUAACUACUCUCCUUUUAAGAAACAGCUUUUGGCCUGCUACUAGGCCCUCGCUGAGACUUAACACUUAACCAUGGGUGAAAUCAAGUUCCCAUGUGAUCUGAGCUCCUGGUCAUGACCUGGGUGUUACCUGACCCACCACGCCAUAAAGAUGGGCAUACACUGCAGCAUUCCAUCAUCAAAUGGAGGUGGUAUUAUGACACGGGACCCGAACACAUCCUGAAGGCGCAAGUAAGUUCCAUGAAGAGGUAGCCCAAAUGCCCACAGUCGCUACCCCUGCCACACUAUCGGCUCUCUCCCAGCCGGCACCUACAGCUUCACGGGGAGUUCCCUCCAAUCAGACGACGGAGAAAGAACUCAAGCUUAGCUCACAGAUGGUUCUGCAUGACGUGCAGGCACCACUUGAAAGCAGACAGCUGCGGCACUACAGCUCCUUUCUGAGCGUCCCUGAAAGACGGAGUUUCUGGAUAUAUAAGCAAAAUAACGAAUACAAUGAAGAAGGACUACACCAUGAAAACAAGAUAAAUGACCCCAACUCUGCAGGUAAUUUCUUUCACUAGGCACAUUUUCUUUCUUAAUAACUUACACACAAGCAUGCUAUAAUUUAGCUUAAACUUUGGGCUGCAACAACUUUCUAAGUGUGGCACAGAGGUAAUUCAAUAAAUGAUUAAAGGGCAGAAUAUAUAUCAGACUUCGGGGAGUCAAAACAAACCUUCAUCUUCAUACCAUUUCAUAAAAAACUCUCCAACAGACUCUGGACUUGGAAACAGUGGACAGAUAAGGUUAUGAAUGAAACUCCGAUGUGGUAUAUGUAUGUAUGCAUGUAUAUGUGUGUGUAUCCUUAAAAAUAUGUAUCAGAAGACAAUGAAAACAAUAUCAA